AUCCAGCUGACAAGUUUCAAAUAGGACGAAACGCAUGUCCUGAAU
RNAcentral lists this non-coding RNA (45 nucleotides) under Schistosoma margrebowiei. Lineage: Eukaryota; Metazoa; Platyhelminthes; Trematoda; Strigeidida; Schistosomatidae. The record is from RNAcentral.